RNAcentral lists this ribosomal RNA (497 nucleotides) under uncultured bacterium. RNAcentral describes it as "partial 16S ribosomal RNA". It matches the Rfam family "Bacterial small subunit ribosomal RNA", at positions 28 to 507 of the family's 1533-position model. The record is from RNAcentral.
GAUGAACGCUGGCGGCGUGCCUAAUACAUGCAAGUCGAGCGAACAGACGAGGAGCUUGCUCCUCUGACGUUAGCGGCGGACGGGUGAGUAACACGUGGAUAACCUACCUAUAAGACUGGGAUAACUUCGGGGAACCGGAGCUAAUACCGGAUAACAUGUUGAACCGCAUGGUUCAACAGUGAAAGACGGUCUUGCUGUCACUUAUAGAUGGAUCCGCGCCGCAUUAGCUAGUUGGUAAGGUAACGGCUUACCAAGGCAACGAUGCGUAGCCGACCUGAGAGGGUGAUCGGCCACACUGGAACUGAGACACGGUCCAGACUCCUACGGGAGGCAGCAGUAGGGAAUCUUCCGCAAUGGGCGAAAGCCUGACGGAGCAACGCCGCGUGAGUGAAGAAGGUCUUCGGAUCGUAAAACUCUGUUAUUAGGGAAGAACAAAUGUGUAAGUAACUAUGCACGUCUUGACGGUACCUAAUCAGAAAGCCACGGCUAACUACGUG